RNAcentral lists this ribosomal RNA (293 nucleotides) under uncultured prokaryote. Its description in RNAcentral is "partial 16S ribosomal RNA". It matches the Rfam family "Archaeal small subunit ribosomal RNA", at positions 455 to 747 of the family's 1478-position model. The record is from RNAcentral.
GUGUCAGCAGCCGCGGUAAUACCGGCAGCACGAGUGAUGACCGCUAAUAUUGGGCCUAAAGCGUCCCUAGCUGGCUGAACAAGUCCGUUGGGAAUUCUGUCCGCUUAACGGGCAGGCGUCCAGCGGAAACUGUUCAGCUUGGGACCGGUAGACCUGAGGGGUACGUCUGGGGUAGGAGUGUUAUCCUGUAAUCCUGGACGGACCGCCGGUGGCGAAAGCGCCUCAGGAGAACGGAUCCGACAGUGAGGGACGAAAGCUAGGGUCUCGAACCGGAUUAGAUACCCGCGUAGUCC